This 253-nucleotide ribosomal RNA is filed under the name Phenylobacterium conjunctum. Its description in RNAcentral is "partial 16S ribosomal RNA". It matches the Rfam family "Bacterial small subunit ribosomal RNA", at positions 524 to 776 of the family's 1533-position model. Lineage: Bacteria; Pseudomonadati; Pseudomonadota; Alphaproteobacteria; Caulobacterales; Caulobacteraceae. The record is from RNAcentral. RNAcentral also lists the same sequence under 1 other name.
UACGAAGGGGGCUAGCGUUGCUCGGAAUUACUGGGCGUAAAGGGCGCGUAGGCGGAUAGUUUAGUCAGAGGUGAAAGCCCAGGGCUCAACCUUGGAAUUGCCUUUGAUACUGGCUAUCUUGAGUAUGGAAGAGGUAUGUGGAACUCCGAGUGUAGAGGUGAAAUUCGUAGAUAUUCGGAAGAACACCAGUGGCGAAGGCGACAUACUGGUCCAUUACUGACGCUGAGGCGCGAAAGCGUGGGGAGCAAACAGG